RNAcentral lists this ribosomal RNA (272 nucleotides) under uncultured soil bacterium. RNAcentral's name for it is "partial 16S ribosomal RNA". It matches the Rfam family "Bacterial small subunit ribosomal RNA", at positions 26 to 325 of the family's 1533-position model. The record is from RNAcentral.
AGAACGAACGCUGGCGGCAUGCCUAAUACAUGCAAGUCGAACGGACUCUUCGGAGUUAGUGGCGCACGGGUGCGUAACGCGUGGGAAUCUGCCCCUUGGUUCGGAAUAACAGUUGGAAACGACUGCUAAUACCGGAUGAUGACGAAAGUCCAAAGAUUUAUCGCCAAGGGAUGAGCCCGCGUAGGAUUAGCUAGUUGGUGAGGUAAAGGCUCACCAAGGCAACGAUCCUUAGCUGGUCUGAGAGGAUGAUCAGCCACACUGGGACUGGAGAC